This is an RNA transcript of Musa acuminata AAA Group (dessert banana), 1833 nucleotides long. RefSeq lists it as uncharacterized. Lineage: Eukaryota; Viridiplantae; Streptophyta; Magnoliopsida; Zingiberales; Musaceae. The transcript is spliced from 3 exons. The record is from RefSeq and is a predicted model, not a curated record.
GGUUGCGACUGUCUCUCCUCUCUCUCUCUCUCUCUCUCUCUCAUGGGUUUUGAUCCAAAAAGAAUCCAUCUUUCGGUGGAAGCCCUCCCUCGAUUGAGUUCUCCCAUCGCAAGAAAACCCUAAUCGCCGCUUCCGGGGAACGAGGUAGUUAUCUCCAUCCUUAUAAUCCCGUUAGCUUUGAUACGAUCCAUCGAGUCCGAUCGAUCGUGGCACAAUCUCACGUCAAGGAACCAUCUUUGGGUCUUGCUCGAUGGUUUCUUGUAGCCGAACGAAUCCUCGUGGGGUUUGGCUGAUGGUAGCUGAAAGUUCCUUGCUUGAUUCUGUCCUUGUUCCUGAAAUGAGAAGAUCCGCUUGGUUCCUUGGAGGUUCGAUUGAUCCGCUGUUUGUUUCUGUUUGAAUCUUGUUGGUAGAUGGAUUCUUGUGGAAGACGUUCGAGAUUUAGCGGGCGGUUUUCUGGAAUCUGAAUUGUCGGCAAGGACUAUCUGGUUGGCUGAUUAAUGAUGUGAAUUGGAAUAAUUCACGACAUGGAUCGAUCAGGGUCGAACUUUUGAUGCAAAAGACCGAAUUAGAUGCAAAAUCCUUGAGCGCUAAGGGGUAAUUAGAUGGAGUCUUUCAAUGUUAACACCCAUUUGCCUCCUCGGAAGCGCCUGCUAGCUGAACUCAAGAGGGAGGGUUCCGAUUUUGAUUUCCUGCCACCGGUUCCUUUUCUUUCUGGUGAUCUUGGUGCCCAGCUCCGUGAUUCUAUUAACUCUCCAAGGUCGAAUCCAGAAGAGAUCAUUGAGGUUGCGAAGUCGGUGGCUUCAGCUGCCGCUGAAGUUGCAGCGGCAGCUAAAAGGAUUGCAACCGAGAAAGCAGCUGCAGCUGCAAAGGCCAAGGCUUCUGCCAAGAGUGCACUACUGUUUCUGGAUUCAGUUUCUAGGAGGAGAAAAUCUGGAAAGGGUUGCAUGGCCAGAACCAGAGUGAGGAAGAAACAGAUGCCUGUUAAGCUCUUGUAUAAGACUCACCAUCGUCUGGGGAGCCAAGAAACAGAUGAAGAACUUGCCAGGAAAUUGCAUCAUGUCAUAAAUAGUUCAUCUAGAAUCUCAAAAAAUAAGCGAAGGAGCAUUCGAAAUGCUGUCUGCAAUGAGAAGUCAUCUGUUUUGCAUGAGAAGAGCAGUAGGAUAAGCAAAUGUUCCAUAGAUAAAUCAGAAGAGAAGAUUGUCGGCUGUUCCGAAGACAUUUUUGAGAGGGAGGAAGAAUCCAGUUACUGCACAGAGACACAAUAUAGUGGAUCUAAGGUUAUAAGAAAGCUGAUGGUUGGAAAGUGAGAAUUAAGAAAAAGAAGUUGCCUUUGAAUCAACAUCAUGUCCAAGAUCAAACAGAGCUUAAAAAAUUGCCACCUUUUGCAAAUCGUCAUAAUUUUACCAGAAAAUGCAGAAAGUAAUGUCUUCAAAUGAUUUAAAACCUUCUGAUGAUGGUGGGAUGUCAAUGUAGAUUACAUCAGCAUGGAAAUGCAAGAAGAUCUAGUUGUCACAAAGCUUAUCUGAUUGCAAGAUGUUGCAUUCUUUAUGUUAAGAUCCUUCAGUAACCCUGACCUCUGGCAGUCAGUUGAUAGCUUGACACAGAUGAUUUUGGAGCUCGCAAUGACAUUCUUGGCAUUUGGAGUCAACUGGAUGGUAGAAGGCCCAGCAAUGCAAGCAUCUUCACUGGUGGCUUUGUGCUGGGAGGAAUUGUGGUUGGGACACUUGCUUGUGUAUAUGCACCUCAGAUCAGCAAAGCAUUGACUGGAACUGACAAAAAAGAUCUAAUGAAGAGAUUGCCAAAAUUCAUCUAUGAUGAAGAGAAAGCGUUGGA